Molecule: ribosomal RNA, 490 nt
Filed under: uncultured bacterium
Lineage: Bacteria
Description: partial 16S ribosomal RNA
Rfam family: Bacterial small subunit ribosomal RNA
Source: RNAcentral
AUUGAACGCUGGCGGCAGGCCUAACACAUGCAAGUCGAACGGUAACAGGAAGAAGCUUGCUUCUUUGCUGACGAGUGGCGGACGGGUGAGUAAUGUCUGGGAAACUGCCUGAUGGAGGGGGAUAACUACUGGAAACGGUAGCUAAUACCGCAUAACGUCGCAAGACCAAAGAGGGGGACCUUCGGGCCUCUUGCCAUCGGAUGUGCCCAGAUGGGAUUAGCUAGUAGGUGGGGUAACGGCUCACCUAGGCGACGAUCCCUAGCUGGUCUGAGAGGAUGACCAGCCACACUGGAACUGAGACACGGUCCAGACUCCUACGGGAGGCAGCAGUGGGGAAUAUUGCACAAUGGGCGCAAGCCUGAUGCAGCCAUGCCGCGUGUAUGAAGAAGGCCUUCGGGUUGUAAAGUACUUUCAGCGGGGAGGAAGGGAAUAAAGUUAAUACCUUGGCUCAUUGACGUUACCCGCAGAAGAAGCACCGGCUAACUUCGUG